UUCUCACGUCGCACUGUGGCUUUCGCCUGUGAUGGUUUAGAAAGGGGAGGACGCAGGAGGAUGCUGGCACAGCAGAGGAAAAAGGACAGUGCCAGAGAUCCAGGGCUGCAGGCAGCCAUUACGCUCCAUAAUUCUACAAAACUGCCCUGGUGGAUUAACACCGAGUAGAGCCUGGAUCAGUAACAAUACUGGGCACUAGGGGACUCCCGAGAGCAUCAGUCGACGCUAACUCUUUGCUUUCAAAGCCCCCACAAAUGGGUUCAUUCUCCCUCUCUCGCUCACGCUAGCUUGGGACGUCCCUCUUUCUUCUGUCACUGCACAUCAAGCCCCAUAACAGCCUCCCCCAAGAGGAGUUUACUCACUGCAUUACUGGACUCCUUAGAUUCCUGUCCGGGGUGCCCAAUGCCUCUCCCUUGAUUUACCCGUGAAAAAUCACCUUUUAUUGUCUUGCAUGCACCUUCUUUCACAAUUUACUUCCUGGGGACUCUAUUAGCAUAUGAAUUGGGACAGAUUAACGUUGAUACUGCAUCUUUCUGCACAACAGGUGCAAAAUGAGAGAGAAUUAUCUUGCUGGUCACGGUGCACUUUCUCCACCCUGCUGAGGAGGAGCCGAGGAAUGGGAGUGAAAGAGGCUCUGUCUGCCUGGUAGGCAUGAUAUCAGAGUGCCAGAUGAGCAGGGCGUCCAACUCUGGAAAACACGCAUGAUCUUGUGUUUGGGUUGCCUCCCUUUUCCACAGCUACUAUUUGAUCCUAAAUCAAGGCUGGAAAGACAAUGUGCCGGGCCAUGGGAUGAAGACAAGUCAAAUCACAUGAACAUGUAUUUUUCGUUUUUUGGUGAGCUCCCAUUCGAGAUCCUACAAAUUCACCUACAUCGGUGCCCAGAUUUAUAAUCAAGGAACAGCUACUGAAUGUCUCUGAAGGCACAUCUACGCAGCAGUGUUAUUUCAAAAUAACGAGGGCUGUGAAAACUAGAUGAAUCAACGAAUCGAAUAGUCGAUGGAAUUUCCAGCGAAUAUUCGAUUAGUCGAUAUGGGUGCUUCUGCUGUUGCUACUUUUCAAAGGAGGAAGUGCUGCGGGGUGUUCCGCCUUCGAGAUGUACAAGAGCCCCAGCAGGAUUGAAACGCUGCAUGGAGCCUGGGGCCAGUGGGAGACUCUGAGUAUGUCCACUCUGAAAUGUACAAGAGCUACCAUCAGCUUCUGGAGGGAUGCAUCUGGCACCAUUGGAAGGUAGAGCCGGGGGAGCAGGUGGCGGCUAAGCAGGAAGCUGGUGGUAACCGAGCAGGAAGCUGAUGGUGGGUGAGCACUGGAGUUUCUGAUAGAGGCAGCAGCGGGGGGAGCGGCUAGUCGACUAGUGUGUUGACUAUCUAAGAAGCUUUUGCUGUCGCUUAGUCACUUACAUCCUCCCUCCCCUUCUUCUCCAGUGGGCAGGGAUAGAAUUCCUCUCCCUGCGGGAUGCCACCACUGCCAGACCCAGCACGUGCACGGCAUGGAGGAAAGCCGAGCUGCUCCAUCGUCCCCCCACCCGCAAGCUCCUGGCCCGGCUGGCACCUUCUCAUGCCUGCU
This is a non-coding RNA of Pelodiscus sinensis (Chinese soft-shelled turtle), 1563 nucleotides long. NCBI's taxonomy places the organism in Eukaryota, Metazoa, Chordata, Testudines, Trionychidae. The record is from RefSeq and is a predicted model, not a curated record.